UCACCUUAUUUAUAAGCUAAAACUAGGGUUACUAGAAUAGGAUAAAAUACUAAAAUACCCUCUAACAAACUUAGGGGCUAAGAAAAUAGUACAACUAAUAAAUAUGAAUUACUUCUAAUACCAUCCCUUAAUUCAUAUUCCAUCAAAACUUGUAACACCAAUUCCGUCCCUUAAUCUGAGAAAUUGAUCAGUCUUGAUAGCUUU
This 204-nucleotide long non-coding RNA is filed under the name Lathyrus oleraceus (garden pea). RNAcentral describes it as "Pisum sativum (pea) long non-coding RNA (PSAT_LNC021250)". Lineage: Eukaryota; Viridiplantae; Streptophyta; Magnoliopsida; Fabales; Fabaceae. The record is from RNAcentral.